UAAUACGUAGGGUGCGAGCGUUAAUCGGAAUUACUGGGCGUAAAGGGUGCGCAGGCGGUUUCACAAGCUAGAUGUGAAAGCCCCGGGCUUAACCUGGGAAUUGCAUUUAGGACUGUGGAGCUAGAGUGCGGCAGAGGGAGGUGGAAUUCCACGUGUAGCAGUGAAAUGCGUAGAGAUGUGGAGGAACACCGAUGGCGAAGGCAGCCUCCUGGGCCGACACUGACGCUCAUGCACGAAAGCGUGGGGAGCAAACAGGAUUAGAUACCCUGGUAGUCCACGCCCUAAACGAUGUCAACUGGUUGUUGGGGAAGGUAACUUCCUUAGUAACGAAGCUAACGCGUGAAGUUGACCGCCUGGGGAGUACGGCCGCAAGGUUAAAACUUAAAUGAAUUGACGG
This 397-nucleotide ribosomal RNA is filed under the name uncultured bacterium. RNAcentral's name for it is "bacterial SSU rRNA". It matches the Rfam family "Bacterial small subunit ribosomal RNA", at positions 521 to 916 of the family's 1533-position model. The record is from RNAcentral.